GCUGGAAAUGUAGCUCAGUGGUAGAGCACUUGCCUAGCAUGCACGAAGCCCUGGGUUCAAUCCCCAGGACAGCA
RNAcentral lists this transfer RNA (74 nucleotides) under Marmota monax (woodchuck). RNAcentral describes it as "tRNA.Ala". The stretch from base 11 to 67 matches the Rfam family "tRNA", at positions 8 to 63 of the family's 71-position model. Rfam says of the family: Transfer RNA (tRNA) molecules are approximately 80 nucleotides in length. Their secondary structure includes four short double-helical elements and three loops (D, anti-codon, and T loops). The record is from RNAcentral. Lineage: Eukaryota; Metazoa; Chordata; Mammalia; Rodentia; Sciuridae.